RNAcentral lists this ribosomal RNA (253 nucleotides) under uncultured bacterium. RNAcentral describes it as "partial 16S ribosomal RNA". It matches the Rfam family "Bacterial small subunit ribosomal RNA", at positions 524 to 776 of the family's 1533-position model. The record is from RNAcentral.
UACGUAGGGGGCGAGCGUUGUCCGGAAUCAUUGGGCGUAAAGCGCGUGUAGGCGGCCCGGUAAGUCCGCUGUGAAAGUCCAGGGCUCAACCCUGGGAUGCGGAUGGAUACUGUCGAGCUCGAGUCCGGAAGAGGCGAGUGGAAUUCCUGGUGUAGCGGUGAAAUGCGCAGAUAGCAGGAGGAACACCAAUGGCGAAGGCAGCUCGCUGGGACGUGACUGACGCUGAGACGCGAAAGCGUGGGGAGCAAACAGG